Long non-coding RNA from Tachysurus fulvidraco (yellow catfish), 901 nucleotides. RefSeq lists it as uncharacterized. Lineage: Eukaryota; Metazoa; Chordata; Actinopteri; Siluriformes; Bagridae. The transcript is spliced from 4 exons. The record is from RefSeq and is a predicted model, not a curated record.
AGAGAGAGAGAGAGAGAGAGAGAGAGAGAGUUGGUUGAGCAAGCUUGACAGUAGAGCUUGGGCCAAAUUUUCUAGUAAUUUGUUUAAACUAGUUAAUUCAAGCACAAAACAUCAUGACAAACAUGUCCUUAAUUCUGCUGAGUAUCCUGCUUAUGAUCUCAGCGGUUUUUGCUGAAUGUGGUGGAUUUUCAAUUUCAUCACAUGAAGGAAACCCAAACAUAGCUACAUUCAGUGUUCCACCAAAGUGGCAGAAGAACCUAAUACUUUGUUGCACUUGCCAAGAUUAUGUAAGAGUAACAACACCCAAACUUAACCUCAAGCUGCAGCAGAAUAUAAAUAAGUUUUGCAACAUGUUCACCCCACAUGUGAAAAUUAAAUGUUUGAGGUUUGGAGGAAAACUCAAGACAAAGAUUCUCAAGUUCAUUUUCCCUGGAAAAACCACCAGAGAAACCUGUCAGAAAAGAAAGCUGUGUAUGUAUUAAUAAAGGCAAAAAAUAAACAAACAAAAAUCUUGAUUUUAAUAUAUAGGCAAAUGUGAUUAUCUAAUAUCUCUACAGUAUAAUGUCUGUUUAUCCAAUAAAUGGGAAAUGAGCUAAAUUAUUUGCAGUUGUAAAAUAAUAUCAGCCUUAAAAAAUAGUAGUAUAAAAUGUCUAAAAAUGUUUUCAAUGUUCCUUGGAAUUGCAUGUUUAUAAUACAUUUAAAAUGAGAUAUAUGUAAUUGAUCAUUUCAAAUGACUUUUGUUUCUUUUUUUAAUUUUGAGCUCAAUUUGUUGGUCUUUUUUUUUUUUUUUGUGUUGAUCUUAUUUUGAUAACUGUGAUUUCCCUGAUUUUGUUUAAACUUGUAUUGUAUUACAGACCAUAAAUGUAUAUAAUGUAAUUUAUUGCAAAUAGACUCAGAUUAA